Long non-coding RNA from Podarcis raffonei (Aeolian wall lizard), 2101 nucleotides. RefSeq lists it as uncharacterized. The transcript is spliced from 2 exons. NCBI's taxonomy places the organism in Eukaryota, Metazoa, Chordata, Lepidosauria, Squamata, Lacertidae. The record is from RefSeq and is a predicted model, not a curated record.
UUUUCAGAUGAAAAUGACUAGUAUUGCUGCAGCCUCUUGGUAAAUAGCAUCUUGCAGGCAUAUGAUGAAUUAAUAGCUUUUAGGUGAAAAGGCCUUCGGGGCUGUAGUAAGGAAACAGUAUUCAGUAGGGUACCCUGUCAUCAAAUCCAUGCCCAGUUGGCACAAGUUUACCAAGUUUAGCUUCAGGUAGGUAGCUGUGUUGGUCUGACGCAGUUGAAAUAAAUAAAUAAAAUUAAAAAAUUGUCCAGUCCAGUAACACCUUAGAGACCAACUAAGUUUGUUCUGGGUAUAAGCUUUCAUGUAUCUGAAGAAGUGUGCAUGCACAUGAAAGCUUAUACCCAGAACAAACUUAGAUGGUCUCUAAGGUGCUACUGGAUAUUUUAAAAAUAUUUUUUUUUAGUUAGCUGUUAUAUCAUAGCACACACAUUUGUUCAGUUUGCUCAGUUGAGAACACAUCUUUGAAUGCGUUCAGCCUAUAUUUGUUGUUAUAUGGGAUUCAAAAAGGUAUAUCACAUCCAUCUGUCCAUAUACUGUAUGAUUAUACUUGAAAGUGUGGCUUUGAAAAACUGUCAGAAGGAAGAAGAAUGUUUAAGUCUGCAAUCUUAUGUACACACUUUCCUGGGAGAUAAACUCUACUGAACACAGUUGAAAUUUAGUUCUGAGUAAACAUGCAUACGAUUGAGCCCUACGUCUGCUACCCUGUAUACAUACCAAGUCCCAUUCCAUAGGAUUGGGCUGUAAAAUACAUACAAUUUUAUAUAGCAUGUAGCACACUUACCAUAAGGUUUUGUGGUUAUAAGUUGAUUAAUAAGUAAUUGAUGACAACCUUAAAUCACGGGUCUCUAGCAUAAUUUGCAUCAGGAAGCGUUCAUUAAAUAAAUGCUGCACCUUAUUGGCUUUGCCUGUGCUGUUUGAGGGGGGAGGAAUCUUUUCACCAAAUUGUAGAAAUGUGGUUGGCUUCACAUUUCAUAUAUGUGCUUCAUGCCCACUCUAAUAUAGAAAGGAAUUGUUUCAGAUAAGCCUUAAUGUUGUUAAAGAAGCGCAUUUUUUAAACAGCUGGCAUUAUCUAUCAGAAUACUUGUUCAGAUUAAAGCGCCAGACUGGACUGUCAAGUCUUUAAACCCAGAAAAAGAACAUUUUAUUCCACCCCACUUUAUUCGUUUGCUAGGGUAAUAAUACGUAUGUCUAACAAUCCACUCCAUAACACAGUUCAGUGACAUUACUCCACUUCAGUGGGUUAUAUUGACUUUAAUCCAACGGGUUUCACUUAACCUGAGUGAGCUGCACCUUGAGCUUUAAAUGUUGCAUUACAGCCAUCUCCUAUCCACUAAAGGUAAAAGGUAAAGGACCCCUGACAGUUAAGUCCAGUCAUGAACGACUCUGGGGUUGCGGCGCUCAUCUUGCUUUACUGGCCAAGGGAGCCGAUGUUUGUCUGCAGACAGUUUUUCCGGGUCAUGUGGCCAGCAUGACUAAACCGCUUCUGGCGAAACUAGAACAGCGCACGGAAAUGCCGUUUACCUUUCCGCUGGAGCAGUACCUAUUUAUCUACUUGCACUUUGACGUGCUUUCAAACUGCUAGGUUGGCAGGAGCAGGGACUGAGCAACGGGAGCUCAGCCCAUCGCAGGGAUUCGAACCUCCAGCCUUCCGAUCAGCAAGCCCUAGGCUCUGUGGUUUAGACCACAGCACCACCCUCGUCCCUUCUCCUAUCCACUAGAUAACAAUAAACUGCUAGCAUAAUUACCAAAAGGUUAAUUAACCAAAGGUGGGUGGGAGGCUAGGUUUUCGUUUUUGAUAAGUUAAAGCAGACUUGAUAACAUGGCUAUGGCAGAUCAGCCAAUAUUGUGUUUAAGUGUGCCCUGUCAGGAGAAUAAUAGAAGUGCCAAAGGGGGUGGAAGCCACUCAGUAUUGGUGUAGAAAAAGCUGCAUGUGCCCUGUGAUACACUUAGUGCAUCGUUCUGUGAAUAUGCACAGCACUGGGAGAACCAAGACAAAUCGUGACAAUGCGCAAGAACUGAGGUCACAUAGGCCCCUCUCUUUUAAUUCGUACUUUAAUUGAAACGAAUCCUAGUUAACAGGCUUGAAGCAGUCCAUAAUUCCCAC